UCCUGGCCUUUGAACUCUCGGGGAAUGGCAGGCUGAUGUGUGCACGGUGUGGGGAUCCCAGAGCAGAGCUCCAGAGGGACACAUUGUAGGACACUAUCUUACUGUGUUACCCAGGCUGUCCUGAAACCCACGAUCCUCCUGUCUCAGCCUCCCGAGUACUGGGAUUGCUGCUGGAGGCCUUUGUCAAAUGAACCACAGCCACACCCCUGUUCACUGAUCCAGAAGAACACCCCCUGCUGCAUGAGGGCUUCCUUCGAGCACUGCACCUCUGUGCCACCAGACUUGCGGGGAGAGCUCUUCACUUGGCCAUCAUUCACAAGGUCAUUGAAGUGGAAAAUGUCUCAGGACCAUGUACAGACUGUAUUUUGAGCUUCGAAAGUAUGGUGUAUCUUGCAGGGUGACUCAGCAUAUAUGGAGUUUGCUGCCAAGCUGACUACCCGAGUUCCUUCCCUCGAACGCACUUGGUGGAAGGAGAGAACUGAUUCCUGCAUGCUAUUCUUUGACCUUCACACGUGUCCUGGAGCAUGCAAACACCAUACAUACAUACAUACAUACACAUAGACAGACACAAAGUAUUUCAAAUGUAUGUUAUAGCGAGGUAUUAUGGAAAACAUACCUUCAUAUUCUAAUGAAAAUUUUUUUUAUUUUAAAAUAAAACUCUAAAGUGAAUGUAUAACCCUGGCUGUGGUAAUUACCCUUCUGAUGGGAAAUUUGUUCUCCGUGAUUCACUUACUCUGCUAGGAAUUAGUAUAAAAAGAAAUGACAGUUUAAUUGCAAGUUACAAACUAUGAUGCAAAGUCAUUAUCCUGAAAGGUUUGUGAGUCUGAGAGAGUAAAAUCUCUGGCAGCUUCCAAACUGUCAGAUCUAAUGCACGAUGAGCUGUGGAGUUAAGACAGGCAUAGAAAGGCCUCUGCACCUUCAGCACGGAAGCUUCCAUUCUGGGCACCAAUGCCAAGGACAGGAGUCAGAGACCCUGGGUGACCUGAUGAGGUAGAGGCACCCUUGGGGGGCCUCAUCUGGACCCAGCAGCUGUUAAGAUACUGAGUGCUCCCGUUCCCGUUGGUACACACCCUCUGACGUCCCUGAGUUUUCAAAGAAGCAUAUUGAUGUGCACUGUCUAUAAAGCAAAGAACAAUAGAGCCCAAUCUGAGUGUUUAGAGACAGUUGCAAUAAUAUAGGACAUUUUUGCUUAUUGCUGGAAGCGGAUCAAUAUUCGAACCUUCUGAGGAAUGUAGGAAAACUUCUUGUGUAGGUGAAGUUUCUCUGUGUCCCGGCAGCCGCUCCCAGAUGUUCAGCUGAUAGCUCAGGUGUGUUACUAGGUAACUCUUCCGUUUUGAAUUAACCCAUAUUUCUUAUCUACCCUCUGCCACAUGGCAGUACGUUCUUUCAACACAGCACAUUCAUCUUGCUUCCCUCGGCAUCUGCUCCUGACUCCUGAGACUCUGCCUUCCUCCCAGCAUCCUCUCUGACCUGAAAAUCCUGCCUACUUAUCACAAUGAGAGCAACACAAUUUCACAGUGUACAGAAGGAUGAUUCCACAGCCUUUUUGUAUUGUUAGCUUGUCUAGAGUCCCUAUUCUCAUUGAAUAUCAACCAAAAAGAUACACAAGACAGCAUCAUGCCUACUGAAGAGAGUGGGAUUUGCAUAUAUUAUUAUCAAGAGCUAAUGUACGCCUGGCUUUUGCCCACUUAGACAGAGUAAUACAAAAUAGUUUGUUUCUGUUACUGAAAAGCCAGGAUAUGAAACUAUCUCAUUGCCAGUUUCAACAGAGAGCUGAAGGCCAUGGCAGGGAUGCAGAUAUUCCGAAGCAAACAUCGUGGGUCUGGACGUGACUUUCCCACACCCAUCACGUCACAAAUUAAUUUGUGAGGAAUCACUUUGGAUCAUCUCUGUGUUUAUUUUACAUUUAUUUUUUUUAUUUUUUUUCUCUUCAACAGUCUUAUCUGGGAUAGGCAUUGCUUUCCAUUGGAGAGGGGUGGUAUAUUCUUGAUUUACCUGCAAUGUGUCCUUAGCUUGAUGAAAACCUUGCGGAUGGGGUUCGCUGGCUGUGGAUGUGAACACAGUAGAGCAAAUGCAAGAACUACCUAGUAUGAAUGGCUGAUAACCCAGUCAGCCUUCCUUCAGUCCUACCACAUCCUUGAGUUCAAAUAUCUGCAAGAUAAGGAAGGUGUGUUAUCUGGACCUCAGUCCAAUGCACCCUGAUUACAUCAUGGCCUUAAGUAACUUCAAGAUUAAGGCCUUAAGUAACUUCAAGAUCACAGGACAGCCUCAGGCUUGAGAAGCCAGACAAGCCCAGGCGCACUCAUGUGACUGGGGCAGUUUAUGGCACAGAAGACUUAAAGUGUAAGGACGUUGUUGCUGUUUUUCAGUGCUGAGGAGCAAGCCCAGAGCUUUGUGCAGGGCAGGUAAGUGCACUAAUGCUGAAAUACAUGCUCAGACCUUGGAUUUUUGAGAUAGAAUUCCAUAUAUAGCCCCUUAUGGCUUUAAGCAUGGUGUUCCACAAUGGCCCUGUGCUGGCUAGUUUUUGUGUCAAGACGACACAAACGAGAGUCAUCAGAAAGGAAGGAGCCUCAAUUAAGAAAAUGUUGCUGUAAGAUUGAGUUGUAGGCCAUUUUCUUAAUUAGUGAUCUGUGGGCGUGCUCAGCCCACUGUGGGUGUUGCCACUCUUGGGCUGAUUGUUCUGGGUUCUGUACCAAAGCAGAUUUAGCAAACCGUACAGAGCAAGCCAGUAAGCAGCUCUGCUCCGUGGCCUCUGCAUCAGCUCCUGCCUCCAGGUUCUCUCCCUGUUUGAGUUCCUGCACAGUGAUGUGAACGUAUAUGCCAAAUAAACCCUUCCCUCCACAAGUGACAUUUUCACAUAAUGUUCCAUCACAGCAGGGGAAAACCCAACCAAGACCUCAGUGCUAUAUUGUGGCCACGUGAUUAGUUUUUAAUUUAACUAUCUCCUCUAUGACAAAAAGUGCAUUAUAAUAAAACAGCCAAUUAGGAUUCUGUUUGUGUUAUUUCCCAUCAACAUUUUGGGAAGAUGGAAAUUUUGCUGAUGGUCAGAGGAAGUGGUGGUUGGUACGUUUGCAAACACCUCAUCUGAAUUAUUGGACAGAGUUAGCACAAUCUAGAUGCAUAGUGCCUUACGGGGACACAUCUCCUGUUGUCAACCACCUUAGUUAAUAUUCAGUGAAUAAAGAGAGGCGAGAUUUCCAGAGGAUGAGUUCUGUAGAUGGCUGUGAUGUCAAAGUUUGCAGGCUUUGCUUGAGUUGAGAGUCGGAAGCCAUUAUCAAUCCUUGUAGGGAGUGGAAGUGGAAGCCCCCAAGUAAGUGAAGUCCAGAGUGGAUGUGGAUUUUUACCAUGGGCACAGCACACUGAAGGCCUCAGACCCAUGGGACAGUAGGCAAAGUCAGUCCUAGUAUCAGUCAUACUGAGGAGAGGUGAGAGAACGCCCCUCAGUGGUCCCAGAAUGAGUGCUUAUCAGUGACUGCCCAGUGUGUGCAGUCGCAAGCGCAGCUCCUUCCCCCAGGUGCUCACAGCCUGAGAAUGCUCACCCAGAGAGUCCUCCUUCUGAGACCACCUAACCUCUCUCCCUCUGCUGUGCCCGCCGAGCUUCCCCAUUGUGGUGGCAGUGGCUGAAGAAUCCCCACUAACCCCAGCUUCACACAUGUGUCCUUGUGUCUGGUCAUUUUCAUUCCCUCACUACCCCAUGCAGGGUUCUGAGAACCAAGUUGCCUGGGUCAUGGCAAACCCUGAGUGAAAUCAGUCAAUGUGUGCAAGCACCGGGCUGACAAGGCAAGUUUACAGACACGGAAAGGCUUCCCGGAACAAGAGACGGUUCCUCGAUGCCCAAGCGUGUGGUGCAUCCUCGAGGACCUGGACCCAAAGAAACACUAUGUAAUUUCAGUGUGGACGGACUGAGAAAACAGCCUGUUCCAAUGCUGGCCUCUCAGACUUCGUGGUAAACUGAGGGAAGGGCAACUAUAGUUUAAAAUAUUAGGGAUGGCUUUGAUCAGUCUCUAGAGAAAAUGUAGGCAGCAAAACUCAUGUUUGAGUGCACUGUUUGGGAGACACUCCAGAGAAGAAGAGGCGAGGGAAUAGGACCAACUCUGCCGAAAAGGACCUCAAGGCAGGGCACCUCGAGUGAGCUUCCAUUUGACACCAGUGCAGCUGAGACUGUUUUGUCUCAAAGGCUAGUUUCUGAGAGCAUGCGUGAGCUAGCAACUUUAGAAAAUUAUCUUGCUUGGUCUUAACAUUUUGGGGGACACGCCCUUAAAGAAACCUAGCUUCUCUUACUUCAACAACCCAAGGAAAGCUGCAGAGGGAAGAGGUGAGCUGGAGUGGAGGCAAGGCAUGGGGGGGGGGGGGUGUUGUACAUUGCAAGCUAAUGCAAGGGAAGGUGGAAACCAAGAGGCUGUGAUAGCAACUGAUCGUGCCCACUGGAGUGGGGGCUCUGGUGCUUAUGCCUAGGCUCUCCAGAACUUGAACACCAGACCAGGGCAUGUGCUUGAAUCAAGAAAACCCAGUUCCUCCGAGGAGAGAGCCAAGGAUGGAAGCUCCCUGCAUGCUCCUUUAGGAACAAGAUGCAUAUUCAGUACUCAGGUAAGUGAUGUGGGAUGCCCUUCUGUGUGCUAUGAAAAUAUACUGCUUUUAUUGGUUGAUGAAUA
Molecule: non-coding RNA, 4652 nt
Organism: Myodes glareolus (Bank vole)
Lineage: Eukaryota; Metazoa; Chordata; Mammalia; Rodentia; Cricetidae
Source: RefSeq, a predicted model, not a curated record